UGACUCAAUCAGUAGAGCAUGGGACUCUUAAUCCCAGGGUCGUGGGUUCAUGCCCCAC
This 58-nucleotide transfer RNA is filed under the name Neotoma lepida (desert woodrat). It matches the Rfam family "tRNA", at positions 8 to 63 of the family's 71-position model. Rfam says of the family: Transfer RNA (tRNA) molecules are approximately 80 nucleotides in length. Their secondary structure includes four short double-helical elements and three loops (D, anti-codon, and T loops). Further hydrogen bonds mediate the characteristic L-shaped molecular structure. tRNAs have two regions of fundamental functional importance: the anti-codon, which is responsible for specific mRNA codon recognition, and the 3' end, to which the tRNAs corresponding amino acid is attached (by aminoacyl-tRNA synthetases). tRNAs cope with the degeneracy of the genetic code in two manners: having more than one tRNA (with a specific anti-codon) for a particular amino acid; and 'wobble' base-pairing, i.e. permitting non-standard base-pairing at the 3rd anti-codon position. The record is from Rfam by way of RNAcentral. Lineage: Eukaryota; Metazoa; Chordata; Mammalia; Rodentia; Cricetidae.